UUUGGGUUGUUCAGAUGAUUCUUUUGAUCCUUUUUUUUCAGAUCUACAAAUUAUCAAUUCUUUUAAUCCGUUUUUCGUUUGUCAUGACAUUGAAUCCCUUUUGCAAUUCGUUUAUUUUCAGAUCUACAAACUUAACCAUUUUUUUCGAUCCCUUGUAGAUCUUCAAUAUUUUUUUUUUUUUCAAUUUUCUCGUGAAGCUUCCCAUGAUCCGCUGGCAGGCCUCGUUUGAUUUGAUGCCCCAUCCCACAAUCCGCUGGUAGGCCUCGUUUGAUUUGAUGGCCCAGCCCACAAACAGGGCAUCAUUUGAUGUCCCAGCCCACACCCAAUGGCCCUGAGCAAGCAACCACGAUCAAAGAUUGACCUAGUUCACCUGCCUCUAUAUAAAAAAGUAGUUACACAGUUCAGCUCUCACUUUUAUAAUCGGACAUUAACUAAUUCAAUAUGUUUCGUUUGUCAACCAUCACUCUUUAGCGAGUUGUUUCCAGGUUUCUCUUCCCCUCCACCUUUUUAGGGUUUCUCUUCCCCUCCACCACGCUAGGGUUGCUCUUCCCCUCCACCUCUCUAGGGUUUUUCCUCUUCACCUUUGGAAAACAACUCGCUGAAGAGUGAUGUUUGACAAACGAAACAUAUUGAAUUAGUUAAUGUCCGAUUAUAAAAGUGAGAGUUGAACAAUGUAACUACCUUUUUUAUAUAGGUCAAUCUCUCUAGGGUUUCUCUUCCCCUCCACCACGCUAGGGUUGCUCUUCCCCUCCACCUCUCUAGGGUUUUUCCUCUUCACGUCUCUAGGGGUUUUCCUCUUCACAUCUCCAGAUGCCCAUUUUCACCUCUCUCUUUCUCACAUCUCUCUCCAUUUCCCCUUUCACCCUUUACACUCCGGUCAAGCUUUCCUCUCUCUCCUCUCUCACCGGCCUUUUCACGCAGCACUCCUCAGGUUUGUUGUUAUAUCUGAUUCAACACAUUUUAUUUAUAUAUCAUUUAGUAAAAAACCCUUCUUUUAUUUUUCAGCGGUCACGCUUUCCUCUCUCCCCUCUCUCACCGGCCCUUUCACGCAGCUCUCCUCAGGUUUGUUGCCAUAUCUGAUUCAACACAUUUUGUUUAUAUAUCAUUUAGUAAAAAACCCUUCUUUUAUUUUUUAGGGAACCGGUGGCGGCGCCGGUGGCACCACCGGCGGUGGCGGUGAUGCAGUCGUUGGCGGUGGUGGUGGUGGCGGCGCCGGCGGUGGUGGUGGUGGCGGCGCCGGCGGUGGUUGUGGCAGCUGCAACUGCAUUGGUGUGUGUCAGUAUAAACCCUCCUUAAUUCCAAGACUCGACUUUGGUUUCAACGUCGCCUUCAACAUCAUCCACCGUUUCGGUUUGUGGUCGGUAGCUUUGGCUUUCUUGUCUGAGCUUGUGACUGAGAAGAAUGUUAAGCAUUUUGCAGAGAGUAUGAUAAGGAUCUGCGAUCCGAGCUUAGUAUAAUAGGGUUUCAGUUUUAAUAUAUCUUUAUCUUCCACUUUGAUCAAUCUGUCUAGGUUUAAGUUGUAAUAACUUGUCUUCUUCCACUUUGAUGAAUCUGUCUAGUUUUAAUAUCUUGUAUCUAGACUUUUGGUUUUCUCCCAUGUUGCAAAGUUCGUUCUUUUAUGGAACUUUUAUAUAAUGGAAAGAGC
This 1645-nucleotide long non-coding RNA is filed under the name Brassica napus (rape). Its description in RNAcentral is "long non-coding RNA (BNAP_LNC026319)". The record is from RNAcentral. Lineage: Eukaryota; Viridiplantae; Streptophyta; Magnoliopsida; Brassicales; Brassicaceae.